This is a non-coding RNA of Chelonoidis abingdonii (Abingdon island giant tortoise), 177 nucleotides long. The record is from RefSeq and is a predicted model, not a curated record. Lineage: Eukaryota; Metazoa; Chordata; Testudines; Testudinidae.
CGGCCGCUGCCCGGGGGCCCCGCUCGGAGGGAAGGCUGAGGAAUCGAGUCCACAUUUCACUCCAGAUUGGCCCAUCUUCCAGGGGACAGGGAAGGGAAAUGGCUAUGAUGGAGCCAGCUCAGAUGCCGGUGAGCUUCGAGGAGGUGGCUGUGUAUUUCACCCAGGGGCAGGGGGCUC